GAUGAACGCUGGCGGCGUGCCUAAUACAUGCAAGUCGAGCGAACAGACGAGGAGCUUGCUCCUCUGACGUUAGCGGCGGACGGGUGAGUAACACGUGGAUAACCUACCUAUAAGACUGGGAUAACUUCGGGAAACCGGAGCUAAUACCGGAUAAUAUAUUGAACCGCAUGGUUCAAUAGUGAAAGACGGUUUUGCUGUCACUUAUAGAUGGAUCCGCGCCGCAUUAGCUAGUUGGUAAGGUAACGGCUUACCAAGGCAACGAUGCGUAGCCGACCUGAGAGGGUGAUCGACCACACUGGAACUGAGACACGGUCCAGACUCAUACGGGAGGCAGCAGUAGGGAAUCUUCCGCAAUGGGCGAAAGCCUGACGGAGCAACGCCGCGUGAGUGAUGAAGGUCUACGGAUCGUAAAACUCUGUUAUUAGGGAAGAACAAAUGUGUAAGUAACUAUGCACGUCUUGACGGUACCUAAUCAGAAAGACACGGAUAACUACGUG
This 497-nucleotide ribosomal RNA is filed under the name uncultured bacterium. Its description in RNAcentral is "partial 16S ribosomal RNA". It matches the Rfam family "Bacterial small subunit ribosomal RNA", at positions 28 to 507 of the family's 1533-position model. The record is from RNAcentral.